This 254-nucleotide ribosomal RNA is filed under the name uncultured bacterium. Its description in RNAcentral is "partial 16S ribosomal RNA". It matches the Rfam family "Bacterial small subunit ribosomal RNA", at positions 524 to 776 of the family's 1533-position model. The record is from RNAcentral.
UACAGAGGGGGCCAGCGUUAUUCGGAAUUAUUGGGCGUAAAGAGCUCGUAGGCGGUUCGGUAAGUCGGGUGUGAAACCUCCAGGCUCAACCUGGAGAGGCCACCUGAUACUGCUGUGACUCGAGUCCGGUAGGGGAGCGUGGAAUUCCUGGUGUAGCGGUGAAAUGCGCAGAUAUCAGGAGGAACACCAGCGGCGAAGGCGGCGCUCUGGGCCGGAACUGACGCUGAGGAGCGAAAGCGUGGGUAGCAAACAGG